GUUAUUACAUUCUUGAUAUGAUAGAACAGUCAUAGAAACGAGGAAUAAAGGUUUUCCUCAAUAUACAAACCAUCACUCAAAAUUUAAACUUAAUACAAUUCAAACUUAAAACGAUUAAAACAAGGAUCUCGUCCAUAUGAGCUAAACACUAGUCGAUCCUCCAUCUAACGCCUGUUCCACCAGCGUCUCACCACUUUCUGCUCACACCCACCGGAUGAUCAUCGCCAAGAGAAAACACACCACACAACAGUAACCGCCAACAACAGAUAAAGCAAGGGUGAGCUAUUGUAACAAAGUAACAUGAUAUAUUUAAAUUAAUAACAUAAUAUCUAACUUAUAAAUCAAAUCUCUUAAUAAUAAAAUAAACACACCAU
RNAcentral lists this long non-coding RNA (374 nucleotides) under Vigna radiata. RNAcentral describes it as "long non-coding RNA (VRAD_LNC009983)". Lineage: Eukaryota; Viridiplantae; Streptophyta; Magnoliopsida; Fabales; Fabaceae. The record is from RNAcentral.